RNAcentral lists this ribosomal RNA (448 nucleotides) under uncultured organism. Its description in RNAcentral is "partial 16S ribosomal RNA". It matches the Rfam family "Bacterial small subunit ribosomal RNA", at positions 335 to 800 of the family's 1533-position model. The record is from RNAcentral.
ACUCCUACGGAGGCAGCAGUGGGGAAUAUUGGACAAUGGGCGCAAGCCUGAUCCAGCCAUGCCGCGUGAGUGAUGAAGGCCCUAGGGUUGUAAAGCUCUUUCACCGGUGAAGAUAAUGACGGUAACCGGAGAAGAAGCCCCGGCUAACUUCGUGCCAGCAGCCGCGGUAAUGCGAAGGGGGCUAGCGUUGUUCGGAUUUACUGGGCGUAAAGCGCACGUAGGCGGACUAUUAAGUCAGGGGUGAAAUCCCGGGGCUCAACCCCGGAACUGCCUUUGAUACUGGUAGUCUUGAGUUCGAGAGAGGUGAGUGGAAUUCCGAGUGUAGAGGUGAAAUUCGUAGAUAUUCGGAGGAACACCAGUGGCGAAGGCGGCUCACUGGCUCGAUACUGACGCUGAGGUGCGAAAGCGUGGGGAGCAAACAGGAUUAGAAACCCGUGUAGUCCCAUGA